UAGUCCACGCCGUAAACGAUGAAUGCUAGGUGUUGGAGGGUUUCCGCCCUUCAGUGCCGCAGCUAACGCACUAAGCAUUCCGCCUGGGGAGUACGACCGCAAGGUUGAAACUCAAAGGAAUUGACGGGGGCCCGCACAAGCGGUGGAGCAUGUGGUUUAAUUCGAAGCUACGCGAAGAACCUUACCAGGUCUUGACAUCUUUUGACCACCUAAGAGAUUAGGCUUUCCCUUCGGGGACAAAAUGAC
This 246-nucleotide ribosomal RNA is filed under the name uncultured bacterium. RNAcentral's name for it is "partial 16S ribosomal RNA". It matches the Rfam family "Bacterial small subunit ribosomal RNA", at positions 791 to 1035 of the family's 1533-position model. The record is from RNAcentral.